AUUGUCGCCAAUAGUGUUAUGUGUAAUGAGCAAUCUUUUUUGUUCCACUCCGAUGAUUCCGCCAUUGGUUGGGGUGUGACAAUUUUCUCAUCUUGAAUUUAAUCUGCCUGAAAAUCAAUUUUCUAGCCUGGAUUCCAACGAUCAGACUAAUUCCAAGGGCAUUCUGUAUCAAGACAGUGAUGACUUGCAAUAUAUACCUGGUGUGACCCCAAUAGAAAUAUGGGAUAGAGACUCAACAGGGUAGAUUCUAAAGUUUACAAGUUACAUAUCAUUUGUCAUGUGAUUAUCUACAUCCUAUGGUUGAGGAGGCUAUAAUUCAUUGAUGUCUACUUUUCUUUUGCGUACAAAGGCAUGCAUUUUCUGUACUUAAUCUUAGCAUUGCUAUAAAUAAAGUUUUGGUUUGUACAUAUACAAAUUUACUGCCGCA
Helianthus annuus (common sunflower) is the source of this 427-nucleotide long non-coding RNA. RefSeq lists it as uncharacterized. The transcript is spliced from 3 exons. Lineage: Eukaryota; Viridiplantae; Streptophyta; Magnoliopsida; Asterales; Asteraceae. The record is from RefSeq and is a predicted model, not a curated record.